UUCGUAGGUGGCCAACUAAGUCAGACGUGAAAUCCCUCGGCUUAACCGGGGAACUGCGUCUGAAACUGGAUGGCUUGAGUGCAGGAGAGGAACGCGGAAUUCCAGGUGUAGCGGUGAAAUGCGUAGAUAUCUGGAGGAACACCGGUGGCGAAGGCGGCGUUCUGGACUGCAACUGACACUGAGGAACGAAAGCCAGGGGAACAAACG
Molecule: ribosomal RNA, 207 nt
Filed under: uncultured bacterium
Lineage: Bacteria
Description: partial 16S ribosomal RNA
Rfam family: Bacterial small subunit ribosomal RNA
Source: RNAcentral